GCCCAAAUAGUGGGAGGAUGUCUGCAUUUUACCUAAUUUUUUAAUUGAUUUAUUACUUGUAAAUACAGUACGUGGAUCGAUAACACCGCCACAGGCUGGGGAUAAAUUCGUGGUCGGGGACGCAGUGUUCCACCGCUUCAGUCUGAAGAUUCCAGAGUGGUGGAAGCUUCGAUUUGAUAUUUCCCUUCCACCACCUCUUGGCGGAGUUACUAGGGGUCUUUUCAUAGAGGCAAAGCUCUUUUACAGCACAAUUCGGAUUGCGCAUAGAAGUUUUACAGAUGGGACAUGCCUCCAGCUCAAAUGAGCCCUGCUGCCGGCCAGGUGGAUUAGGCUACAGCUCGAAAAAGAAGAAGCCAACAUGACUUUCCAAUGAGAUAGUUGGGUAGGAGGAUCAGCUGGACAGGCCAUCCAACUUGGUGCAGGAAAAUUUUCAAAAGCUGGUGGAUAAGCAUACCAAUUAGUGCGCCACCCAAGACGGGAAGGAUUGUGGCUAACACCAGUAGGUGGAUG
Sesamum indicum (sesame) is the source of this 510-nucleotide long non-coding RNA. RefSeq lists it as uncharacterized. The record is from RefSeq and is a predicted model, not a curated record. NCBI's taxonomy places the organism in Eukaryota, Viridiplantae, Streptophyta, Magnoliopsida, Lamiales, Pedaliaceae.